RNAcentral lists this ribosomal RNA (387 nucleotides) under uncultured bacterium. Its description in RNAcentral is "bacterial SSU rRNA". It matches the Rfam family "Bacterial small subunit ribosomal RNA", at positions 29 to 420 of the family's 1533-position model. The record is from RNAcentral.
AUUAAACGCUGGCGGCAUGCCUUACACAUGCAAGUCGAACGGCAGCACGGGGCAACCUGGUGGCGAGUGGCGAACGGGUGAGUAAAGCAUCGGAACGUGCCCUGGAGUGGGGGAUAACGUAGCGAAAGUUACGCUAAUACCGCAUAUUCUGUGAGCAGGAAAGCAGGGGAUCGCAAGACCUUGCGCUCUGGGAGCGGCCGAUGUCGGAUUAGCUAGUUGGUGGGUAAAGGCCUACCAAGGCGACGAUCCGUAGCGGGUCUGAGAGGAUGAUCCGCCACACUGGGACUGAGACACGGCCCAGACUCCUACGGGAGGCAGCAGUGGGGAAUUUUGGACAAUGGGCGGAAGCCUGAUCCAGCCAUGCCGCGUGAGUGAAGAAGGCCUCGG